CAGUAGCCGCGGUAAUACGAAGGGUGCAAGCGUUACUCGGAAUUACUGGGCGUAAAGCGUGCGUAGGUGGUGGUUUAAGUCCGUUGUGAAAGCCCUGGGCUCAACCUGGGAACUGCAGUGGAUACUGGGUCACUAGAGUGUGGUAGAGGAUAGUGGAAUUUCCGGUGUAGCAGUGAAAUGCGUAGAGAUCGGAAGGAACAUCUGUGGCGAAGGCGACUAUCUGGGCCAACACUGACACUGAGGCACGAAAGCGUGGGGAGCAAACAGGAUUAGAUACCCCGGUAGUCCCUGUCUCUUAUAC
This 301-nucleotide ribosomal RNA is filed under the name uncultured bacterium. Its description in RNAcentral is "partial 16S ribosomal RNA". It matches the Rfam family "Bacterial small subunit ribosomal RNA", at positions 509 to 807 of the family's 1533-position model. The record is from RNAcentral.